GUGAUUCUUCAUGCCUGCCGUUGGGAAAACUGGAAACUGAGUGGCUGGGACAGCAGGCAGACAGAACCUGACAUCUCAGGCUGCUCCGUUUCCCUCAGGUCCCCAGUUGGGCCAUGGAUA
Molecule: microRNA precursor, 120 nt
Filed under: Mus pahari (shrew mouse)
Lineage: Eukaryota; Metazoa; Chordata; Mammalia; Rodentia; Muridae
Description: microRNA 8107 (MGP_PahariEiJ_G0006704.1)
Source: RNAcentral